GGUGGAUAACGUGUAGUCAGAUGGUGGAUAACGUGUGGUCAGGUGGUGGAUAACGUGUAGUCAGGUGGUGGAUAACGUGUAGUCAGAUGGUGGAUAACGUGUGGUCAGGUGGUGGAUAACGUGUAGUCAGGUGGUGGAUAACGUGUAGUCAGGUGGUGGAUAACGUGUAGUCAGAUGGUGGAUAACGUGUGGUCAGGUGGUGGAUAACGUGUAGUCAGGUGGUGGAUAACGUGUAGUCAGGUGGUGGAUAACGUGUAGUCAGGUGGUGGAUAACGUGUGGUCAGGUGGUGGUUAACGUGUGGUCAGGUGGUGGAUAACGUGUAGUCAGGUGGUGGAUAACGUGUAGUCAGGUGGUGGUUAACGUGUAGUCAGGUGGUG
This is a long non-coding RNA of Epinephelus moara (kelp grouper), 378 nucleotides long. RefSeq lists it as uncharacterized. The transcript has 3 exons. The record is from RefSeq and is a predicted model, not a curated record. NCBI's taxonomy places the organism in Eukaryota, Metazoa, Chordata, Actinopteri, Perciformes, Serranidae.